RNAcentral lists this ribosomal RNA (279 nucleotides) under uncultured bacterium. RNAcentral's name for it is "partial 16S ribosomal RNA". It matches the Rfam family "Bacterial small subunit ribosomal RNA", at positions 506 to 784 of the family's 1533-position model. The record is from RNAcentral.
UGCCAGCCGCCGCGGUAAUACGUAGGUGGCAAGCGUUAUCCGGAAUUAUUGGGCGUAAAGCGCGCGUAGGCGGUUUUUUAAGUCUGAUGUGAAAGCCCACGGCUCAACCGUGGAGGGUCAUUGGAAACUGGAAAACUUGAGUGCAGAAGAGGAAAGUGGAAUUCCAUGUGUAGCGGUGAAAUGCGCAGAGAUAUGGAGGAACACCAGUGGCGAAGGCGACUUUCUGGUCUGUAACUGACGCUGAUGUCGAAAGGGGUGGGAAUAAAAAAGAAUAAGAUA